UGCCUAAGCAAUGAACUCAAGUGCUUGAGAGAUAAGGUUUCAUGAUCCACCACCAAGAUAUGAAGAUUUUUGGCAAAACUAGGGAGAGAAUCAGGGACCCAAUGAUUCAUAUCCUGCAACAUUUCCUUUGGAGAGUUUGAGAGAAAGGAGAUUAAACUUCUAGAUUUGAGAGAAACUAAGAGGACAAAUUUUAGGGGAGAGAGAUGAACAACCCGAGAAAGAGCAGAGACAAAGUUAAAAGCUUAACAUGCAGAGACAAAACACACAGAAAAAGGAGAGAGAGUUAG
Molecule: long non-coding RNA, 287 nt
Organism: Cucurbita maxima (winter squash)
Lineage: Eukaryota; Viridiplantae; Streptophyta; Magnoliopsida; Cucurbitales; Cucurbitaceae
Exons: 3
Source: RefSeq, a predicted model, not a curated record